RNAcentral lists this ribosomal RNA (528 nucleotides) under fungal sp. AB14. RNAcentral's name for it is "eukaryotic LSU rRNA". The stretch from base 174 to 327 matches the Rfam family "5.8S ribosomal RNA". The record is from RNAcentral. Lineage: Eukaryota; Fungi.
CUGCGGAGGGAUCAUUACAAGUGACCCCGGUCUUACCACCGGGAUGUUCAUAACCCUUUGUUGUCCGACUCUGUUGCCUCCGGGGCGACCCUGCCUUCGGGCGGGGGCUCCGGGUGGACACUUCAAACUCUUGCGUAACUUUGCAGUCUGAGUAAACUUAAUUAAUAAAUUAAAACUUUUAACAACGGAUCUCUUGGUUCUGGCAUCGAUGAAGAACGCAGCGAAAUGCGAUAAGUAAUGUGAAUUGCAGAAUUCAGUGAAUCAUCGAAUCUUUGAACGCACAUUGCGCCCCCUGGUAUUCCGGGGGGCAUGCCUGUUCGAGCGUCAUUUCACCACUCAAGCCUCGCUUGGUAUUGGGCAACGCGGUCCGCCGCGUGCCUCAAAUCGACCGGCUGGGUCUUCUGUCCCCUAAGCGUUGUGGAAACUAUUCGCUAAAGGGUGUUCGGGAGGCUACGCCGUAAAACAACCCCAUUUCUAAGGUUGACCUCGGAUCAGGUAGGGAUACCCGCUGAACUUAAGCAUAUCAAU